GACACAGACUGUCAUCACUGGUGCCCAUUAGUCAUUACGUGAUAAAUUGAAAAGCUCUUCACCAGACAACAAACUGCCCAAAGUGUAGUGGACAUACAAAGAAUCAGGUUCUCUGACAAAGAUCUUCAAGUUAGACGGCGAGAAUGUCUAGUAUUCUCUAUUUAGUUUUGUUGUGACUAACAAGUGCACAAUUUCACUCAUUGUAGAGCUGAGCUGUGUACAGAUCUGGAAGGAUGGAGUGCUAGCAGUCAUGCACUGGAUGUUAUUCUAAGAAUUAAUGAUCAACGUUCCACAAUUAAUGUACAGAAUAAACAAUUGCUUAAUCAUAACAUUUUA
Molecule: long non-coding RNA, 336 nt
Organism: Rhincodon typus (whale shark)
Lineage: Eukaryota; Metazoa; Chordata; Chondrichthyes; Orectolobiformes; Rhincodontidae
Exons: 2
Source: RefSeq, a predicted model, not a curated record